Molecule: ribosomal RNA, 460 nt
Filed under: uncultured Methanosaeta sp.
Lineage: Archaea; Methanobacteriati; Methanobacteriota; Methanomicrobia; Methanotrichales; Methanotrichaceae
Description: bacterial SSU rRNA
Rfam family: Archaeal small subunit ribosomal RNA
Source: RNAcentral
ACAACGGGUGGAGCUUGCGGUUUAAUUGGAUUCAACGCCGGAAAUCUUACCGGGACCGACAGCAAUAUGAAGGCCAGGCUGAAGACUUUGCCGGAUUAGCUGAGAGGUGGUGCAUGGCCGUCGUCAGUUCGUACUGUGAAGCAUCCUGUUAAGUCAGGCAACGAGCGAGACCCACGCCCACAGUUGCCAGCGUACUCUCCGGAGUGACGGGUACACUGUGGGGACCGCCGGCUGCUAAAGCGGAGGAAGGAAUGGGCAACGGUAGGUCAGUAUGCCCCGAAUAUCCCGGGCUACACGCGAGCUACAAUGGUUGGUACAAUGGGUAUCUACCCCCGAAAGGGGACGGGAAUCUCCUAAAACCAAUCUUAGUUCGGAUUGAGGGCUGCAACUCGCCCUCAUGAAGCUGGAAUCCGUAGUAAUCGCGUUUCAACAGAACGCGGUGAAUACGUCCCUGCUCCUU